RNAcentral lists this ribosomal RNA (279 nucleotides) under uncultured bacterium. Its description in RNAcentral is "partial 16S ribosomal RNA". It matches the Rfam family "Bacterial small subunit ribosomal RNA", at positions 506 to 784 of the family's 1533-position model. The record is from RNAcentral.
UGCCAGCAGCCGCGGUAAGACGGAGGGUGCAAACGUUGUUCGGAAUCACUGGGCAUAAAGCGCACGUAGGUGGCUUACUAAGUCAGGUGUGAAAUCCCUCGGCUCAACCGGGGAACUGCAUCUGAUACUGGUGGGCUAGAGGUCGGUAGGGGUGAGCGGAACUCCUGGUGGAGCGGUGAAAUGCGUAGAUAUCAGGAGGAACACCGGUGGCGAAAGCGGCUCACUGGACCGAAUCUGACACUGAGGUGCGAAAGCUAGGGGAGCGAACGGGAUUAGAUA